Long non-coding RNA from Sinocyclocheilus rhinocerous, 1615 nucleotides. RefSeq lists it as uncharacterized. The record is from RefSeq and is a predicted model, not a curated record. NCBI's taxonomy places the organism in Eukaryota, Metazoa, Chordata, Actinopteri, Cypriniformes, Cyprinidae. The transcript has 2 exons.
UUCACUAGAUUGUUCUGCAUUUCUCAUUAAAUAAAAACAGAACACUUGCCUCUUAAGAAUGACACAUUUAUAUAUAGACACACACACAAAUACUGCAUUUAUAUACAUCAUUUUUAGAAAACAAAGAAAACAACGUACAUUAACAAGACUUGUUUGUGAUUAACAAAAAUAGCCUUUAACAUUCUAGUUAAAAACAUGUUGUAAUGUGAAAGAUAGUCUUAAUGCUCAGAUAUCUGCACAAAGCAAAAUAAGGUAUCCGGUCCUUUAUCGGUUUAAAUUGGCCCAAAACACAACAUGUAAGAGGCAUCCGAGACUGAACCCUGAGAGGUUUUAGGAUAAUCAGGAGGUAUGGCUUUCACCGCUGUCAAAGUUACUCAAGAGUUUCACUUUUUUUCCCUUGAAAUUGCUGAUACUUUAUUUGUAAGCUGGAGCUUUACCUAAAAAAAAAAAAAAAAAAACUAGUGACAAGAUAAAUUCAAACAACCCUCUGCUAUUUACUUAAAAAAAGAAAAAAAAAACUAACAACAAUAUUAAUAAUAAUAAGUGCAUAGAUACAGUAAAAUAAAGUUUUUGAGGCCAGGAGGACACAUUAAACUGUUCAAUAAGAGCCUUAUAUAGGCCUCAAACUGAUUCUUUCAGUAUGUCAAUUUGUAAAAAAGACAAGUUUGGAAUAUUCUAGGUUAAAAUCAGGUACACGUACAAACAUAAAACAUGUGGGCAGAUUUGCACAUACAAUGUAAGUCUAUGGGACAAGUACACGGUUGCCUCAUAGACUUCUACUAAAAGCAUUUCUGUAUGCACAUUUUUUGGGAGCUUGUGCAAUGUUUUUGUGGUAACCGACAUCCCAGAGGUGAUGUCGUAAGAUCUGAACUUGUAUACACCCAGCACAAUAGACAAAAUAAUCUGUCAAAACCGCUGGAGCUAAAAUAAACUGGUGGCAGAAAUGGGACAUUGAGACUUAAGUUGUUGAAUUCUUUGUUCACAAGUCAAAAACAAUCAGAAAUGACGUAUCAGGGAAAUAACGGCUCAGUCGUGUAUUUACACAUAUAAAACCUUCAUUAAAACAGUAAAUAGACACGCCGAAAGGUAGUACAGUGACAUUCUAGCACAUUCUUCAUUCCUUGAUAAGGAACUGCAUCGCAGUAAAGACCUCCCAUCAGCAGGGGGGGCGAUAUGGAGUGGAAAAACAAACAUAAGAUGAACGUAAACCACUUUAUGACCAAGUUUAGAAAUCACAGGGGUGAUCGUUUACAAAUAGUUUAGCAUCAACCUGAAGAUGAAUAACAAGAGACAUGUCCAAAAACAGUCCUUUUGGGUUGCGGAUUGAACGCAUCUAUUUUCGGGAAGCGAGAGGGUGAUGCUGCAGGCUCAUUUCCUAAAAUUAGAGAUGAAAACUUUCAUACAUAUCCCCCAGUGCAUUUCAUAUUUGCAGUGCUUGAAAUACCCUCUCAGCAUCAAAAAGGUUUGCAAAUGGUCCUUCAUUUCCUCUGAUGGUGGAUCUUAAACAAACUGCUCUCUAAAAUUACCUUUGGACGAACAAGAGCCAGAUUUGUAUUGGGUCACAUUAGGUUUGCGCUGUAAACCACCUCUAACCCCCAUUUCUAAAAAUACAGGA